AAGUUCCCGAAGACGAUUCGCCUCCGGCUAGUUUUUCCCUCCCUGGACUUGUGAGUGGUUGCUGUACUUGCUGUCGUGGGAUAUUGGUCCUUCUUUUCUUCCUUCGUAAAAACGUCAAGGGAAGCGGUUACUUCAGGUCUCUACAGCAGAACGAGAGAAGACAGACCACAGGAGACUUUGUAUCACAGAACAGAGCUGACGGCAAGUGUCACGUGACACAGUACGAAGACGUGUGGGAUGCAGUGAACAGUCAGAGCAUUGCAGGGACUCGAGUAACAACGAAGUCGGAGACAAAGAUCUACUCGAACAGUUAAAGGAAGAAGAUUAUUUUAUAUUUUCAAUCCACUUAUCUAGACAGUAGAUUCUGAACGUUUGCUUUCAUGUUUCUGGCAGAAAUCCUUAGGAUGUAUUUAUAUUUUAGUGUAAUAAUCAAUAGUAAUAAUCGGGUAUGGAAUAGUCUCUUUUAUAAUUUGUAUGAUUUCGGAAGUUGAGAUACUCUAGUUGUGAAUUUUACUGUAAUCUAAGAAUUGUUAUUGUGCCUAGGUGACAACCAUUGCAGAAAAUGUAUUUAAAGUUUGAUGAUUUAUUCAUAAAAACUGUAAUAAGCUAAAGUUCUGAUGAAAAUUAUUCUCCAACCAAGCUUCUGAUAGCGCUGUCAAUGAUUCCCUUAACAAAGAAAUGCUGGCAAACUGUGGUACUUUGUUAAUAUUUAUUCUCGAGUGAAAUACAUGUAUUAUGAUAAUGCUUUUUGGACUAUCAUAUAGAAUUAUAUUAGUUUUCUUACCACCUGCCUACUGGUGUUGGCAAUAAGCACAACUUACACUUCCGUAGCCUUGAAGCUUCAUCCUUGUAACAUUUUCUAGAAUUGUAAUGCCAGUCUCCUCUAGCAACAAAUAUUUUACAUAAAAUAAUUGUGGUUUUUAAAGCAGGACUAUUUCCUUUUACGUUUAAACUGAGAGUAUACAUUACUGUUGAUGGCAGUU
This is a long non-coding RNA of Pomacea canaliculata, 983 nucleotides long. RefSeq lists it as uncharacterized. The transcript is spliced from 3 exons. NCBI's taxonomy places the organism in Eukaryota, Metazoa, Mollusca, Gastropoda, Architaenioglossa, Ampullariidae. The record is from RefSeq and is a predicted model, not a curated record.